AAAAACUUAGUUAAUUUAUAACAUUAGCUUGUCAAGCUAAAAUAACUCCCAAUAGUAGUUUUUA
Molecule: transfer RNA, 64 nt
Filed under: Glyptelasma gigas
Lineage: Eukaryota; Metazoa; Arthropoda; Thecostraca; Poecilasmatidae
Description: tRNA-Asp
Source: RNAcentral